CAAAAUGUUGUGACAAAUGGGAUUCUUACACAUACUGUAAAAGUAUCUUUCAGCUGAAUUUGAACCCUUAAUGAAUUAUGUUCUUUAUCGAAACUCACUGCAGUUAUACCAGAUGUUGGAAUGGGAAGAUGAAACUACAUCAAGAUGCUUGGUUUAUAGAUGUUUUACAGCUACAGGCAAACAAAAAUGAUCUCAUCCUCAUCUGCAAACCUACACAAUAUGGUCUUCUAUGGAAGAAUCUGGGUCUGAUGAAAACAGACAGAGUGACUCCGGUCAAACUCUAAACAAGAACAAUAAACUCAUUUUCAGGGGCUAAUGAAUGGAAUGUAUUGCCAGAUUGAAUAAGGAACUCUGAAAGUCUUACCAAGUUCAAGAAUGUAAUUGACACUUUAUGUGAUGCUAAAAAUAUAGAAUCUAGACAGGCUUUUAGGGCCUAGAUGCCAUUGCCUGAGACCACAUUGUAUUGUAUUGUAUUGUAUUGUAUUGUAUUGUAUUGUAUUGUAUUGUAUUACGCUGUAUUGUAAUAAUCUAUGUACUUAAUUUAGUACAGUCUCUGCGAAUCUCCACUAAGUUGUGAAUAAUUACCAAAAAAUGUUGACGGACGAUAGUGGCAUAUCUAAAAUAAUUUACGUAUGUCAGUUCAUAUAAAAACACCAAAAAUAUUAAACAUUUUUAGCCUGGAUUCAUGGUAAAAGCCCUGACUGUAAUCAAGGUGACUGAGGUUUGAUUAGCUGCACUGGCACUGAAAGAGACAGACAGGAAGGGAGGGUGAGAAGGGGCAUGACCCACUCACCUCUCCUGGUGGGAAAGGUGGUGUUUCAUGCACUCGGAGGCAGAGUGGUAUGAUCUUCCUGAUGGAGACUGGAAAGAUCACCAUAUGUGCUGUGUGGUGGGGGGGGGUGCAGCUAAAAGGCAAUGUUCCUUGCAGAAAAGAGGGCAUCCUUCAUUGACAACAUGCCCCCCUUCCUAGCUCCUCAACAUGUGCACACUGAGUAAAGGAUGGGGAGAAAAAUGGGGGUAAAAAUGAACCACACCCUGAUGGCUGCCUGGAUGAUAACCCACAUCAAUCAACUCUCACCUGGUAGGGAAUAGAUGAACUGAUUGGCAAAGCGAAUGUCUGAUGGUUGGCAGGCAAUCAGGCAAAUCCAUAAAAAUAAUUAAACAUAUUUUGGAAAGCAGGUAAAAUACCACAUUUGCAUUUCAUAUAAGGAUCUUGUCUGAACUGCAUCUAUAUGUCUUAUAUGUUCAGAUACUUGCAUUGAUUUACAAAAUAUAUAUAUACAUAGUUGGGGCUUAUGGAGAUUGUAAUUGUUAAUUUGUUGUGUCUUUUCCUAUCUGCAAGAAAUGUAUAAAAAUAUAUAUGCAUACAUAUGUGUGUGUGUGUGU
Molecule: long non-coding RNA, 1386 nt
Organism: Protopterus annectens (West African lungfish)
Lineage: Eukaryota; Metazoa; Chordata; Ceratodontiformes; Protopteridae
Exons: 3
Source: RefSeq, a predicted model, not a curated record